AUUGAACGCUGGCGGCAGGCCUAACACAUGCAAGUCGAACGGUAACAGGAAGCAGCUUGCUGCUUUGCUGACGAGUGGCGGACGGGUGAGUAAUGUCUGGGAAACUGCCUGAUGGAGGGGGAUAACUACUGGAAACGGUAGCUAAUACCGCAUAACGUCGCAAGACCAAAGAGGGGGACCUUCGGGCCUCUUGCCAUCGGAUGUGCCCAGAUGGGAUUAGCUAGUAGGUGGGGUAACGGCUCACCUAGGCGACGAUCCCUAGCUGGUCUGAGAGGAUGACCAGCACACUGGAACUGAGACACGGUCCAGACUCCUACGGGAGGCAGCAGUGGGGAAUAUUGCACAAUGGGCGCAAGCCUGAUGCAGCCAUGCCGCGUGUAUGAAGAAGGCCUUCGGGUUGUAAAGUACUUUCAGCGGGGAGGAAGGGAGUAAAGUUAAUACCUUUGCUCAUUGACGUUACCCGCAGAAGAAGCACCGGCUAACUCCGUG
This 489-nucleotide ribosomal RNA is filed under the name uncultured bacterium. RNAcentral describes it as "partial 16S ribosomal RNA". It matches the Rfam family "Bacterial small subunit ribosomal RNA", at positions 30 to 507 of the family's 1533-position model. The record is from RNAcentral.